GGUUCUGGCCUCCGGACCGAGAAGCGGGGCGGAACCGUUCUGGCGCGGUGCCCACCUUGCGGGCCUAGGGGUGGUGUGGAGGGGAGGACCCGGCCGUCGGACCAGGCUCGGUGGAGUCCGAAUCCCGCUCGUGAUGCUGGCGUGGGCGCCCGCGCCGCAGUCUCGCCCGCCGCGGGACUCCAGGGAGGUUUUUCCCGGGAGCCAGACCCUCCACGCGUGACGGGCCUCGCGUCGCCGGGUGCUGCGAGGCUGCCCCGGACCGUGUUGGAGAUGGGACACGCGUGCGCACCCACGGGCGGGCUGUGUUCCUCGCGGUCCCGUUAUCCUCGGGGCAGAGCAGAGCGGGGACGCAGCCUCCUCAGCCGCCCGCAGAAGAGGGGAGCCGAUGUGAGGAGCACACGUGCGGGGGUUGGGGGAGAAGUAGUCAACAUCUAUUUCUGCGACCUGGGGGGCUGGAGGGGGGAACCAGUGCGCCAGAAAAAGGCUUUCUAUGCAGUAUGACGGAGUUCUGCCGUUGAUAUUUGUUUGAGGAACGAUUUUGUGAAUUGCAGCAAUGAGGUCCUGUGAUUUAUAGAAGCUGUCAGUCAUUAAAUCUGCAUCAUCCAUGUUUUGUUGCAAGUUCUUUAUAACGUGCUCCAUUAAAAUGUAGACAAGAUUAUCAAAUUAACCGUUUUCAGAGUUGUCCCUGACUGUGAUUUUCUGUGAAUCAUGUCACUAUAUUUUAAAUGUGAACGUAAGUAGGGAGGUGGUGGUUGUUUUUUUAGCUUUGCUUUACACAAAUUCUAAAGAGCAUUGCUGAGAUUGUGUGAUACCAAAUAUAUUUAAAGCAAUCUUAAAUAGUCUUUCAUGGCCAGUAGCUUCUGACAAUUUCAUUUAAAGACCAUGGUUUGAGUUUGGUUUUUGUUUUUAAUUAAAUUACUUUGAUAGAGCAAAUGAAGUUGCCUUGAUAGAUAAAGUUAAAAACACAUAAAUCAAUUAUUUUGAAUUUUUCUAUUUUUAAUUGAAUUUUCCAACAAUAGCUACAAUAGUUCUUAGUGCUAUAGACUAUUCACUUUAUUUCUUUAAACAACUUAUGUAAAGGCAUGAAAUGGCAAUUUGAUCAAAAAGCAACUUCUACUUUUUCUAAAUAUGUUUCUUCAAGAACCUAGAAAAUUGAGAAGUUUGUAACUUACAUAUUACUUAAAAAUAUUUUGUUGCUGAAUAUUCUCUACUGUACAAGAUGAAGUCCCCUUUCCAAGUUGGUUUGUUUAGCUUCCUGGGCCCUGCGCUAACUGCUGUAGUUCAGUCAAUCAGAGCGGUCCUAUGUCUUAGGUAAUGCUGGCAUCCCAUUUUUACAGAAGAGGAAAUCCCGAAGAGGAAGAGGUAAACUAAAUAUUUACACAGCACUACAGCCAAUGAGUCUGUCUGCUGUGCAGGCCAACCAGAAUGCUGUUCCCCCUUUUUACGGACCUGGUCCAGUCCGUUGAACCCAUGACAGGGUGCCAUCAUUUUUGACCCAUGGGUUCAACCAGUUUUAUAAUGUAGUUGAAACAAAACAACUGUGGGGCGUCUCCAUUCCCUGUGGAGUAACCCCUGAUGGGCCCCUGGUUGGAAACAGAGUAGAGACUUCAAGUGCAUGUGGCUCUGUCCCCCAUGACCUGCUCCCCUACCUGCUGCUGGCCAGCCUCACUGCAUGGACUCUAGUCUCCCCAGAAUCCACCUUGACCUGCAGCUGCUUGGCGUCUCUAGGGCUCUGAGCUAGGUGUCCCACUGGAAAGCUUUCCCACGCCAGCUCUCCUGCCACCACUACUACUUGUUACAUUUUCAGUUCUUUCUCACAUGCCCCAUCAGAUCUGUGGGUCAGUUUGUUUUCCAUCAAAGACUUAAUUCUUAGAAUUCCUGACCCCCACAACAGCCUUUAUAUCUGUAGGUAUCCAUGCCGAGCACUUCCAGAGAGGAGUGUCAGUGCUCCUUGCAUGCUUGAGGUCCAAAUUCUCACCUAGCUUCUUUCAGUGCUCACCCAACAUGUCCGGAGGCAUGAGCAGCCAUAUCUGAGAGAUGACGUGAUUGGCUGCCUCGAAGCACUUUAUUGACUGUACAAGAAGCGUACAUGCUGUCUUUGGAGCCACUGACCUUCCCCAGCUGUCCAUCCAUAGGACCCUCCAUUUUCUGUCUUCUGUACAUUGUGUGCUCAUUAUAAUAUUCACCACUCAAAAUGAGGAAUGCUGUGUAGACCGCAGAGCUUGCUGGGAUGUGUACCUUUCAAGCUUAUGAUUUUAACAAUUGCUAUUGUUAAAAUCCUUUCAUUGUGUUAUUACAAGUAUCUUACUACAGUGCCAAAAUGAGCAGGAUACAUAUACACAGGUAUGUGAAGACCCUUGUAAUGGCUUAUUUCAGUGAAAAAGCAUGUCAUCUACUCUGUUGACACUAAAAUUGGCUCUUCAUCCUAACAAUGUGAUUAGCCAGGAGUGGAAAUGCACUUUCUGUUCUCUUCAUUGACUUGUAGGCCCAUAUUUCUAUAUGGCAUGGCAGCCAAGCCAUCAAGUCAUAGGCCACACCUGAGAUGGGUCACAUAUCCUGCCAGGCAGGCUGUCCCUAACCUAGCAAAACCUAGCAAAAGGUCAGGAUGUUUUGCUCCUUCCUUUGUAAUAUGGAGGAUGCCUUGUGGAGAUGCUGAUUCAAGCCUACAUGACAGCUAGCAUACAGAGCAGACAGGUAGUUGUGGACAUGACAAAAGGUCAUUCACCUGGUUACCUAGGAGACAGAAUGCUAAUGUAUUUCACCCUCAGUUAAGUUUUGGUAUAAAGACUGGAGAAUAAAUGAGAGGAAUUCUUCAGGAUGUGAACUCAGGACUUCAUGAGGGACCACUGAGAACCUCCCGAUAAAGCCAUGUGAGUUGUGUCUUUAUUCCCACGCCUUCAUGCCGGUCCAGAGAGAUAGUUUAUGUUGGGGUCUAGAGAAAUAAUUUAGAGUCCGGGCUAUCACCAGACCCCGACACUGGCUCUACCAGCUUACUGCAUUUUUUGACUUUAAAAUAAAAAUUUAGAGUAUCCAAGCACAUCUGUCUUUUAUCACCCUGACGUUUUUACAAGAACUAAAACUUAUUUUAUACUUCACAUUUAAUGUUUGAUGGCUCUUGGUCCCAAUAUUCUUUUUUAAAAAAUAUAAUUUCAAUUUCCAUAAAACGGGAUGUGAUAAUCUAGGUGUGUUUGUACAAUUAACUCUACAGAACUUUUUAGUGUCCUCUUUAAUUGUAAAGUGGUUUAUCAGUUACUGCUGGAAGCACUGAAAGCGAUCUAGGGACUCUGGUCAACUUCAGAUGUCAGGUAAGAAUGUAGAUGGAGCCUUGAGAGGUGGUGGUGGUGUUUGAGGGGGAGGGGUCCCCUAGCAGCAUGCCUUCUUUUCAUGAGGCUUGCUUGCAUCCUGUAAGGUGGGGAGCUCUGCUCCCUUGGCGGCUGUAGGAUGAUUUGUGCAGCCUUUAGACCACCAAGAUCUUCCUUCCAGAUAGAGCACCAGCAUGCAGCUCCAACCCCUGCCCAGCAGUUAAAUAUUAACUGCCCGUGUAAGGUUUCUGCUCAUUUGACCCUAAAGGAAACCGUAGAGGUAAAAUCACUGAGAGCCAGGAUGCGGGCCCUUGUGUCAUGUAAUCUGACCUUCAUUCCGUGUUUGAACAGAUCUCCAAGUAAAAAAUAACUGUUAAUUAUAGGACCGCGAGAAUGAGCUUCAGAUGCACUCUGUUUUGAUCAGUUUCAUACUGACUCAUGACAUUAAUUCCAGCAGUGCUUCUCUGGAUUGGGCUAAUUCCAUGUUUUUUUUCUCUUCAGGAUCUAGGUCCCUCAGAAUGAGUCAGUGGUUAUUUUAGCAUGCUCGAUAGAUGCCUUUUGGUUCACAGUGUGUUAAUUUUAAACAGCUAAUGUGGGUAAACAUUUUCUAAGCAAAGGCUCUGACUACUCAUGUCAUCCCCAGACAUUUGAUCAAAUGUAUUACCCUUGCUACAACUAAAAGCAUUUUUUUGGUAAUUGUGUGGCAUAAGUUCCCAGAAGGUCAGUGAGAGACCAAAAGGGGUCCUCUGGGGUGUCAGGCACUUUGUUUACUUCAGUACACUGCAGCUCUGAGUUGAUAAUUGCCUCCAUUUUACAGUUGAAGACAGUGAGGUUCAGAGAGUGGUAUGACUGGUUGGUCCCACGGUCCGUAAAUCCUGGACCUGUGAUUCUCAUCAGACCUUCAAAGGGAGUGACUGGACAGGCAGCUGGCCCUUCCAUACGUUAAAUCCAGAUGCUCAGGAGCUAUAGUCUCUUUUUUCUCGGUAUUUUACCUGAUCAGCAUGUGAGACCUUCCACGCAUUAAAGCUCUCAUAGCUAAUAGUGCUGGUGUUGUACAAAGAAAAGGAAUCUUCUCAUGGCUGCUGGGGAGAAGAGAGCUGAGUUUAGUAGCCUGUGCUGCGCUAGAGAGCUGCACACGCGUGAGAAUGCAGCAGGGUUGAUUGGAUUUGAUGCAUUAUUUUUUAAAGAGAGGGGGAGUCAUAAAAGAGAGAGGACAUAUUCAGGGAGUCAGUAAAGAGUGGAAUGGGGUGGGUAGGAUCAAGAUACUUUGUAUAUACAUAUGAAAUUCUGAUAAAUCUUUAGCUGCUUCGCUCUGUCUGUGCAUAACAUCCUUAGGGUUCUUUUCCAACAAAGCGUGAGCGGAUAACUAUAUCUGAAGGUUGGACUGGAGGAACACUGAAGAACUUCAAAGUUCCAGAAGUUUCAGGUUCUGGAUAGUCUUCACUAAGAAGAGCAGAUUCCUAUUGUUUGGUCUAUAGGGUGGCCCUGUCACCAGAUGCCAGAAGAGAUGCAUUUAAAGCCUUCAGCUGUUGGGCUAAGGCCAGAACUCAGCAGUAGAGUGAGCACCUUACCUACUGGGCAGGAAGUCCUGGGUCCCAUCCCCAGCACUGCAAAACAAAAAUCUCUAGGUGUCCAAUUUUGUACUCCAAAAUCUUUUUAAAAAUAUUUGACUUUUCAUUUCCUGUAGAUGUGUAAUACAUAAAGCUGGAAGCCUUAUAUUCUCACAUUUUCUAAAAACAAAUUUCCUACUCAACACAUUGUAACUCUGCAGUAUAACCUGGUAGCAGGUGGAACUCUAAGACCCUUCCUGAGGAGACUUACUACAGGGGAACCAGGAAGGGAACUGAACUGCGCUUUGCUCCUCCUGUUCUCUUGUUUUCCUCACAGGUAGCCCAUUUCCAACAGCUACACUGAGUAAACAAAAGAAAAAGAAUAAGACUGUGUAGAUAAACUUGAAAUUAAGGUGGUGGGGGAGCAGCUUCUGGGAGUCCCAAAGGUUCUUCUGCCUUCGCUACAGGGAAAUAGGAGGUCUGCGAGUUGGCUCCAUGUGUUCAGUUUUUGCAGGAUUUUCAUAGCUGAGGAUCAAUUGUUCUACCAAUGAACUGGACCCCCAAUCAUUUUUUAUUGGGCGAGGAAGGGUUGUGCACUCAUGUACCACAUGUGGAGGAAAGAGGGUAGCUUUGGGAGUCUCAUCAUCUACCUUGUAGAGGCAAGGUCUCCCUCAUUCCCCUGCACUAGUUCUCCAGAAUAGCACACAAGCUUGGCAGAAGUACUGAGAUUACAGAUGCAAGCUACACUAUCCAACUGUUUUUAUGAUUUUAAAUCUGGACCAGGGAUCAACUCAGGUCAUGUGGUUUGCAGGGCAUACUCUUUUACCACACUGUCUUCUCAUCCAAUCCCCCUUUUAAAGACAGUUUUCUUAGCUCAGCCUUGGUCUUCCAGAGAGGCCACACACUGGCAAUUCUCCUGUCCCUCUCUCCCAGUUGCUGGGAUGAGAGGUGUGUCUCCCAGGUUAAUACUUGCAGAAAUGGUCAUUGCUAGACUUCACAUUCUCAUUAACCACCAAAGUGUAUGUGUUGAGCAGCCUGCAGCCCUGCCUUAGUGGCCCUCAUCCCCCUGCUGAGCUACACUAAUGGUGCCAGCAUCUACUGUUCCCAAAUCAUUCUGUCCAGGCCAGUCAUCAAGUAUGUACCAUUAUAAAAAUAGACUUUAAGGGCCACCAACUUGAAUAAUUAUCGCUAAUUACACUUUUUUUUUGAACAGCCAUGGGUAGCAUUGUUUUUACAUGGAAAUAAAAUGUGGUAUUUUAAAAUGAGUAACACUUUUUGUCUAACAGUUCCGCAGUGUGUGCCCUAUAUUUAUAGUGUGUGUCAGGAAUUAAGGAGCAGUGAGAAGCUGCAAGCUCACACUGUGGCAGACAGUAGGAUGGGUGGCACCCGUGCCGUUGGGUUCUGUGUCCAGAUACAGCUGUCUGGGGAAUAGGAUGACUGCAGGGUGGGAACUAGGGAAAGAAACUACUCAAUUGUGAAAUCAGGAAAGAGAAGAAGGAUCAAGGAGUCUGAAGACAGCCUUGUAACUGUCAUCAACUGAUGCGCCAGCAAAAAGCCACAGCCUCUAGUUCCCCUCUGAGCGGCUGGGACACUGCUAGGCAGUGACUGCAGACAUUUCUCUGUGCCAGGUUCCUGACCUCUGUGGCCCAAUGGCCAGACUUAACUUUCUCUUCUCCCUCAGCUGACCAGGUUUCAACACUCCAGCUGGGCCUGUGCCUAGCUUCGUGAAGAGUGUAGGCCCCAGCCAGUCUCUGACACUUCUCCAACUAGGGGCAGGGUACAGACACUAAGUCUGAGACAGUGAGAGUCUCAGUGACAGUGGCCAAGUCACAGCCACUCAGGAUGAGCACACAGAGGUAAGGAGGACUUCCAUGUCUGAACAAUUCUAGCCUGUACCUCCCUCUGCACUGGGUGACAACCCUGCAGCCCACAACAUCUCCAUUUGCCAAGUCUUAGUACGACUUGCCCCAGGUGAUGUGGGUGUGUCGCCAUCUUUCAGUCUUGAUCCAUAAGGCAAAGUCCUGAAAUCUUCUUCCCCAGGAGCAAAUGUGUCAUCCAGCUCAAGGGUCCAAAGAUGCGGCAGGGGAGGGCCCAGGUUCAGAUCCCAAACUGAUGUGUGAAAAGUGGCAGCAUAAAUACAUCAGGGUUUCAUGAGUACAUGGGCCCCAAAAAACUACCAAAAUGCCUGGGGUACAAUGUGUUAGUUAGCUUUCCCUAAAAUGCACAACAAAAAACAAUGUAAAGGAUUUCUUUCAGCUCAGAGUUUACAGGUUACUGGAAGGCAGUCACAGCUGCAGUGGGGUGGGGCCGCCAGUCCCAGUGCAUCCAUGGUCAGGAAGCAGAGAGAGACUGCCAGGGUUCAGCCGCCUGUCUCCGUUCUAUUCAUCUGGUGUGAGAGCCCCAGCCCACAUUUGUUGGGUCUUUCCACUUCCAUUAUCUCAAUAUAGAAAUUCUCUCACUGAGAGACACAGACGUGCAUCCUCUAGGAUGCUCUAAGUCCCAUCAAGGUAACAAGAUUAACUACCACACACUGUAAGUUUUCAAUAAUUAUUACCAUUUUAUAAAUCAAGGGGGACGUGAACCUGCAUUAGCUCAUACUGCUCAGCGUACGUGUGCUUUGGAAUAUUUGUAAAUAUCUCUUACAUAUGUAGAAAUUGCUUUUCACACAGCUCAAAAUGCGUGGUCAUCAUUUUUCUGUGGCUUCCAAUUGCAUAAGCCACUUCCUACUGCUGGUGGCAGGAGGUAAAAGGACCACAGCCUGGCAGGAAGGAGCUUGGACCCCAGCCAGCUGUGCUGUCCGAAGCAACAGCUUCUCAGAAGCUGGGCACGGUUCUUCACUCUCCACUCCUGGAUGGGAGAAACCACUUGCAGGAGCCAGGCAGAGGCUUCUGCAUGCCCAUCACUGCCCCAGAAGCAACUGACCAGUUCCUUGAGGGGUGUCGAAGGUCACCUCUUCUAGAGUGCUCAGGAGGUAAGUGGACAACCGUCAUCCUCCAGGCUGUGCUGGGACUCACCACAGCACAGUGUAAAUGCCACUGGGGUGCUCCAACACUGCCCCACAGGCCUGGUGACAGGACUCAGAGGUGAAAGAGAGCCACUGGGCAUGCUGGUCCAGGCUUGUGGUUCCAGCUGAUUGGGAAGCUGACACAAGGACCAAGAGUGAGUUUAAGGCCAGCUGGGUAAUUUUGAUCCCAUCUUGAUCUUUAAAAAGGUGAAAAGACGCCUUUAAAAAGGUGGUGGCGCAUGCCUUUAACCCCAGCACUCGGGAGGCAGAGACAGGCAGAUCUCUGUGAGUUUGAGGCCAGCCUGGUCUACAAGAGCCAGUUCCAGGACAGGCUCCAAAGCUACAGGUGAAAAGACAACUGACGACCAAAAAUGUAACUCAGUGGCAAAGUGCUUCCCUAGUGUGCACGCGUGGUGUUUAGUCCCCAGUAGAGAAGAGAUGGGAGCCAGCUGCCCGAUGUCUUGAGCCAGUCCAGAGUUUCCGGUCUCAAUGUCUGGGUACCACAGUCCUACUGCAGGAGAGUACCACAGCCCACCUGCCCACUCAGCAAGACUGCUUCCUUCUCACCAGACAAGAGGUCAGCAAAAGCCACUGCCCACUUUUAAAAAAAAGAAAUCCAAUACCAAGAGGAAAACAGCUCUUGCUGUGAGGAACUUAAACACCUUAGAUGAACAGAGGGGAAGACGAACGUAGUCGUGGGUGGCUUCUGCAGAGACGUUCACACGUGGCACACGGCUCCCUGUGCUUUCUUCAGAUGUCCUCUGAACAGCCCUUCAAUCACCAGUGGACCCCCGGCCUGACACCACAGCUUCCAUUGCUCAGCUGCAUGCCACCAUCACUACCACCCACCUCCUAGGUCACAUGACCUGCAAAAAGCAUUUACCCCUCAAGCCAAAGCUUGCCCCCAGUGCUUUUCAAGGCAUCAUUUCAAAGUGAAAGUCUGCACGAUUAAACCGAGGUACUUAAAAAGAAAAAGGAAAAAAGAUCUCUCAAGGCCUUGGAUCUCUUAGGAGCCCAGCUUCCUAAAUAACCACACGCCCCACUGUAGCCCUACCGCUGAACAAGAUUUGCAUUUGAAUCUGUGUUUUCUUCACCAGGAGGGCCACGCUACCGAAAGACACCUGGGACACCACCCAGUCUGUUGUAAGUGCGGCCCUUUCCUCCGCAGCUCUAUUUCUACUUACUGUGACCCUUGUACAGCACUUCAGCAAUAAGUGAAGGCAAAACUGUAGACCACAACACAAAAUGUCCUUUUCAUACCAGAUUUCCCCACAGCAAAAUUCCAAUAAUAUUACAAGUUGUCUGCUCUCAGUUCUGAGCCCACCUUUUGGGCUUGCGUGGCUCUCAACCACAAGGUUUCCCCAGGUGUCACCUUUCUAUGUCACCAUGGGGUCCCUGUUGGUCCCAGGACAGGCUAUCAGAGUGUGAUCCACUCUAACCAGGAAACUUGCUGGUUUAACAAGAUGGGAUCUCUUGCCAUGUAUGCAUCCCAGCACUGUAAGAUGUACCACCAAAACCUUGUUACAGCUGCCUGUCAAUUGAACUUCCUGAAGGACCAGGCAUUUCAAUACUUGGUCGCCCGUUGGUGAUGCUGUUUGAGGAGGCUUAAGAGUUGUGGCCUUGUUGAAGGAGAUGUGUCAAUGGAGUUUAAUAUAUGAGCCCUCAGUGUCCUGCUCCUGUUGCAACUUGGACUCUGCCAUCAUGGACUCUAAUCCUCUGGCAUGUGUGCAGGACGUGAGAUGCAUCUUCAUGUGGCUUCCACUGGGAGGGCUCUUUCAAAGCCUGAAACUUCCCACAGCUCCAUAAACUUCUCUUAGUGUCCCCAGCAGCAACUCCACAUCGUCAGCCCAUCCUCUGUGAGAUCCUGGCUGCUCCAGUUUCCGGGUUUGCAAGUAAGUGUAUUGUCUCUGCUUCCCCCUCUUCCAGCAAGGGUGCACUCCCCAUGCUGAUAUGAGACGGUAGCUACUGUGAGUUGCUCUACGGGAAUGUCACCGCAGGAGUGCAGUCCCAGCUAGGAUCCUGCAGCAGCAUGCGUGAGGUGGAGAACGGUGGUAACUUGGUAUCUUUAUUACCCUUUCUUCCUGGGUGCGAAGCCUCCAUUUCACACCUCCCUAGAGGCCAGGCUGGCCAAGUGAUGAAUUCCAGUCAACAGGAUAUGAGCCUAAGCAGUUGUGCCCCUUCCAGGUCUGGUCUGAAGACAUCCUCUCCCUUUUCUCCUCCAUCAUUGCCUGACUGGUUCCAGACAACUAGGAAGGAGCCUUAUGGAAGACAUGGGUCCCACCAUGACAGCAUGGACAAAGGCCAUCUUUCAGAACUUUCACUUGCCAUGAUUCCACAGCCCAAAUAAAGUUUUUCUGUAUCUGUACCAACA
Non-coding RNA from Myodes glareolus (Bank vole), 10227 nucleotides. The record is from RefSeq and is a predicted model, not a curated record. Lineage: Eukaryota; Metazoa; Chordata; Mammalia; Rodentia; Cricetidae.